Molecule: ribosomal RNA, 396 nt
Filed under: uncultured marine eukaryote
Lineage: Eukaryota
Description: bacterial SSU rRNA
Rfam family: Eukaryotic small subunit ribosomal RNA
Source: RNAcentral
UUGCGGUUAAAACGCUCGUAGUUGGGUUUCUGUCGGGAACAGCCGGUCUGUCCUGAGUGACAAGCUACCGGAUUGCCACCUGACAUCUUCUUGGGGAACGGGUGCGCACUUCACUGUGUGACCCGGAAACCUUGACGUUUACUUUGAGGAAAUGAGAGUGCUUCAAGCGGGUGUUCGCCACGAAUACGUUAGCAUGGAAUAAUAGUGCUGGACCUCGGAUCACAGCUGUUGGUUGCUGGAAUUGGGGUGAGGAUAAACAGGGACAGUUGGGGGCAUUCGUAUUUAACUGUCAGAGGUGAAAUUCCUGGAUUUGUUAAAGACGGACUACUGCGAAAGCAUUUCGCCCAGGAUGUUUUCAUUGAUCAAGAACGAAAGUUAGGGGAUCGAAGACGAUCA